Polypterus senegalus (gray bichir) is the source of this 2705-nucleotide long non-coding RNA. RefSeq lists it as uncharacterized. NCBI's taxonomy places the organism in Eukaryota, Metazoa, Chordata, Cladistia, Polypteriformes, Polypteridae. The record is from RefSeq and is a predicted model, not a curated record. The transcript has 9 exons.
GUGUGUGUCCUGUGGUGAAACAUUGGUCCCUGCCUUGUGCCGUGGGCGGUCUUGUUCUGAUUGGCUAAAACGUUAAGUAUCUGGCUGUGUGACUGAUCUUCUUUUCAUACUGGUAAAUAACUAGUACUGUACUGAGUCGCUGCUGUAUUGUAGGUUUCGCGGGAGAACAUACAAACUACACACAGUUGAAGGCAAAAACACUGAUGGGCUUUCAAAAAGUUUUAUGAGGAUAUGAGGUAGCACUUCUCCUUACAGUGACACCUGUUCCUACUGGAAAUCAUGUGUGUAUUUAAAGGGCCUGUACAUAUUUUAAAGCUGCUUAUUAAACCUAUUCUUUGGAUGUUGAGGCCUGACGUUAACCACGAAAACAGCCCGUGUCCCUUAUAAAAGCAUGCCUAUGGUGUUAAAAGAAUCAGAAAUCAAGGAAGAUUUUUCAGAAAUUAACAAUACAUGGCAGAGUGGACCACAGACAUGUUUGUCUUGUAAAGGGCUGCUGUAAGUCAAAGCUAGGGCUUGUGGUUUAAAGUCCAGUUGUUUAGUCCUUUCCCACAUUGCCUGCCAGGAACGGAAUUCUUAGACUCUCCAAUGAAUAUGUGUGAAAAUAAAGUACCGCUGAUCUGCUUCAGAAUGCAUCCCUUGGAGCUUGUGCUUCUUCUCAUUUUAUUAUUUUUGUGUCAACCAUGGGCCCUUGAGCUGUCUUGUGAUCCAAGUGUUGUGGAAUCAGAAGUUAACCAGACUGCUGAACUUAAAUGCCAAAUAAGAAACAUAAAAAUGAAAUAAUAAUGAUUGUAUGGACAAAGGAUGGUGCAGUCAUAGGAGAACGACAUAAAAAUUUCCGUCGAAGGCAGACAAGCACAGGAUUCCAAAUAUAAUUUUGUGGAGCAAAAGAAAAUCAGACAGUUUCUCUUGAGGUUAAAAAUGUUCAAACAUCAGACUCUGGAAAAUAUGAGUGCAUGAUCUUUACAGAUGAACAGCAUCGUAUAAAGGAAAUAAACCUGAAAGUGCAAGAAAGUGACCAACUUCAUGGCUCAAAUAGUUAUACAGACCUUACAGAACCAGUUCUUGGAAGUCGUAUACAUUGGAUUACCAUUCCAGUUUUCUGCUGUUUUACCGUUAUCACUGUUGCUGUAGUCUUGAAAGUCCGAGUAGUUGUAAAAAUAGUGAAUCAGAUCAGCUGCAUGUCUUUAAAAGUACUCGUAAAUGCACCUCUGACAGAAGACUGACAGAUGAUGAAUUGACACUCAGACAUCGGCAAGAAGCUGCUUUCAGUACUGACGUUGGAGCCAGUCUCAAGUCUGGUCAAGCAUGAGGGGAGUACAUGGAAAGAAAUUUAGAGAAGCAAUAAUGAAAAGGAAUGCAAAGCAUCAGACAACCAGCUUGACCCCAUUUGCAACUGUGUGCCAAUAUGCUUAUAUAAAAUAUUUCAAAACAGAACAACAAGCAGAAGAAGCUCUGGAAAAAUCUGAUCUGCUCUUCAGUUUAAAAUAUUUCAUUGGUGCCCUCAGAAAAAAUGAAAAUUGGCAGUUUUGGAAAUUUCUGGUAUGGCAGAAUAAAGGAAGCAACAAGCAAAUUAAACAUCGGGUUUCAUUAAGAUGAAGAAUGAAGAAGAUGAAUGACAUAAGCAUUAUUUCCCUCCAGUUAAGGAUUCUGAAUCUUAAAUAAAUUAAAAUUUAGGCAAAAGAUGGUGUGGCAUUAGCAGCAGGAUGUUGGUUACAGUCAAAAUAAGAAAGUGAAUGGAACAAACAUCUGCUGCCAGGGUGUCCCUGAAAUGCAGAACAAUAGAACAGGCACAUAGUGGAUGCAGACUUGACAUUUUAAUCAAAGAAAUACGUUACAAAAAAAAAAUUGUACUUGUUGUACUUCAUACAUACUGAUAGAGAAAUAAUUUUAAUCUCGCCUUUCUAUAACUGUAAAUAUACAACUAGCUUUUCCAAACAAAAAAAUCUUUAGCCUAUAAAUGUGGAGAAAAAUGGACAUAACACAACUAUGAAAUCUAUUUUAAAACUAAUAUCUUUAACAUGUUUACAGAGCUGAUUCUCAGCUUAAGAGUUUAUGUAAGGUUAAACUCUAAUUGCUUCUUCUAUAGUGGAAAGUCUGAAUUUGUGAACUUUAGAAAAACGUUUCCCAUGCUUCACUUAAAUGCAGAUUCAUAUUUUUCAAUUCUAAUUAAUACAUGAGACAGACAUUUACAGUGAAGUCUACAAUUAACUCGGUAUAACAUAAACUACAGAGCAUGCAGUAUUCAAUGCUUUAAACCAGAAAUUGAUUUCCCAUUUUACAUUAAAACAUUAUUGCUGACUACAUACAUAUUUUAUGCCUUUAUUUGUUUUUUAGUGGGUAUCUUGCACUUCCAAGCUCUUCCUGUUAUCUUCCACUGGUCCGUUGUUUUUGCACAGUUUACAUUGUAUAUUUAGUGCUGUUCUGCAAAGCAUCUUGUGAUGAUAAAAAUGUUAAAGACAAUAUGAAAUAAUGACUGUCUCAUCACAACAACAGUGAAGAAUUUGAACUUCUCCUCUCUGUGGAUAAUGGACACAGUAUAUCAUAAUGACAAAUUCUUUGCAACCAAAUGUGACUCUGAAAGUCUGGACUGAGAUUGACAAUAGCAAACGACUGGAGAUAUAACAGUGCUGAAAGAUGAUUAUUACAUUUAAAUACAAAACACAUCAUUAUCAGAAAAGUAAAAAUAAAAAAAUGUAUACAUUAAA